This is a long non-coding RNA of Cebus imitator (Panamanian white-faced capuchin), 5128 nucleotides long. RefSeq lists it as uncharacterized. The transcript has 22 exons. NCBI's taxonomy places the organism in Eukaryota, Metazoa, Chordata, Mammalia, Primates, Cebidae. The record is from RefSeq and is a predicted model, not a curated record.
CCUGGUGCAGGUAUAAGGAUCUGGGUCUGUUAAGAUCUGAGGAGGUAAGAUCUGGGACAGUAUUAAGGAUCUGGGAAUCUCCAUGUCUGAGAAGGUAGGAUCUGGUAUACAUAUAAGGAUGAAGGAGGUAGGAUCUGGUGCAGGUAUAAGGAUCUGGGUCGAUCAAUAUCUGAGGAGGUGUGAUCUGGCCUUGGUAUGAUGAUCUGUGUCUUUCAAUGUCCUAGGUGGUAGGAUCUGGCCCUGGUAUGAGGGUCUGAGUCUGUCAAUAUCUGAAGAGGUAGGAAUCUGGUACAGAUAUGAGGAUCUGCGUCUGUCAGUGUGUGAGAGGUAGGACCUGGCUCUGAUAUGAGGAUCUGUGUGGGUCUGUCAAUGUCUGAGGAAGUAGGAAUCGUACAAGUAAGAGGAUCUGGGUCUAUCUAUGUCUGAGGAGGUAGAAUGCGCCAUGAGUAUGAAGAUCUGAGUCUGUCCACGUCUGCAGAGGUAGGAUCUGGUGCAGGUAUAAGGAUCUGGAUCUUACAAUGUCUGAAAAGGUAGGAUCUGGCCUUGGUAUGAGGAUCUGGGUCUGUCAAUGUCUGAGGAGGUAGGAAUCUGGUACAGGUAUGAGGAUCUGUGUCUGUCAAUGUCUGAGGAGGUAGGAAUCUGGUACAGGUACGAGGAUCUAGGUCUGUAUCUGAGAAGGUAGGAUCUGGGUGCGGGUAUAUGGAUCUGGAUCUGGCAGUAUCUGAGGAGGUAGGAUCUGGCCCUGGUAUCAGGAUCUGAGUCUGUCCAUGUCUGAGGAGGUAGGAUCUGGUACAGGUGUGAGGAUCUGGGUCUCUCCAUGUCUGAGGAGGUAGGAUCUGGUACAGGUAUGAGGAUCUGGGUCUCUCCAUGUCUGAGGAGGUAGGAUCUGGUACAGGUGUGAGGAUCUGGGUCCAUCCAUGUCUGAGGAGAUAGGAUCUGGUAUAGGUGUGAGGAUCUGGGUCUCCCCAUGUCUGAGCAGGUAGGAUCUGGCCCUGGUGUGAGGAUCUGGGUCUGUCCAUGUCUGAGAAGGUAGGAUCUGGCCCUGGUAUGAGGCUUGUGAGGAUCUGGGCUCUCCAUGUCUGAGGAGGUAGGAUCUGGUACCGGUGUGAGGAUCUGGGUCUCUCAGUGUCUGAGGAGGUAGGAUCUGGUACUGGUGUGAGGAUCUGGGUCUCUCCAUGUCUGAGGAGGUAGGAUCUGGCCCUGGUAUGAGGCUUGUGAGGAUCUGGUCUCUCCAUGUCUCAGGAGGUAGGAUCUGGUACAGGUAUGAGGAUCUGGGUCUCUCCAUGUCCGAGGAGGUAGGAUCUGGUACAGGUGUGAGGAUCUGGGUCUCCCCAUGUCUGAGCAGGUAGGAUCUGGCCCUGGUAUAAGGCUUGUGAGGAUCUGGUCUCUCCAUGUCUGAGGAGGUAGGAUCUGGAUCUUGGUCUCUCCAUGUCUGAGAAGGUAGGACCUGGCCCUGGUAUGAGUCUUAUGAGAAUUUGGGUCUGUCAGCAUCUGAGGAGGUAGGAUCUGGGUGCGGGUAUAUGGAUCUGGAUCUGUCAGUAUCUGAGGAGGUAGGAUCUGACCCUGGUAUCAGGAUCUGAGUCUGUCCAUGUCUGAGGAGGUAGGAUCUGGUACAGGUGUGAGGAUCUGGGUCUGUCAGUGUCUGAGGAGGUAGGAUCUGGUACAGGUGUGAGGAUCUGGGUCUCUCCAUGUCUGAGGAGGUAGGAUCUGUUACAGGUGUGAGGAUCUGGUUCCAUCCAUGUCUGAGGAGGUAGGAUCUGGUACAGGUGUGAGGAUCUGGGUCUCCCCAUGUCUGAGCAGGUAGGAUCUGGCCCUGGUAGGAGGCUUGUGAGGAUCUGGUCUCUCCAUGUCUCAGGAGGUAGGAUCUGGUACAGGUGUGAGGAUCUCUGUCUCUCCAUGUCUGAGGAGGUAGGAUCUGGUAUAGUUUUGAGGAUCUGGGUCUCCCCAUGUCUGAGGAGGUAGGAUCUGGUACAGGUGUGAGGAUCUGGGUCUGUCAAUGUCUGAGGAGGUAGGAUCUGGUACAGGUGUGAGGAUCUGGGUCUGUCAAUGUCUGAGGAGGUAGGAUCUGGUACAGGUGUGAGGAUCUGGGUCUCUCCAUGUCUGGGAAGGCAGGAUCUGGCCCUGGUAUUAGGCUUGUGAGGAUCUGGGCUCUCCCUGUCUGAGGAGGUAGGAUCUGGUACAGGUGUGAGGAUCUCGGUCUCUCCAUGUCUGAGGAGGUAGGAUCUGGUAUAGGUGUGAGGAUCUGGGUCCAUCCAUGUCUGAGGAGGUAGGAUCUGGUACAAGUGUGAGGAUCUGGGUCUCUCAUGUCCGAGGAGGUAGGAUCUGGUACAGGUGUGAGGAUCUGUGUCUGUCAGUGUCUGAGAAGGUAGGAUCUGGCCCUGGUAUGAGGCUUGUGAGGAUCUGGUCUCUCCAUGUCCAAGGAGGUAGGAUCUGGUAUAGGUGUGAGGAUCUGGGUCUCUCCAUGUCCGAGGAGGUAGGAUCUGGCAUGAGUAUGAGGAUCUGGCUCUGACGAUGUCUGAGGAGGUAGAAUCUGUUGCAGAUGUAAGGAUCUGGGUCUUUCAAUGUCAGAGAAGGUAGGACCUUGCCCUGGUAUGAGGAUCUGGGUCUUUCAAUAUCUGAGGAGGUAAUCUGGUACAGGUAUGAGGAUCUGGGUGUCUUCAUGUCUGAGGAGGUAGGAAUCUGUUAGAGGCAUGAGGAUCUGGGUCUGUCAAUCUGUGAGGGGGUAGGAUCUGGCCCUGGUAUGAGGAACUGGUUCUGUCAAUGUCUGAGAAGGUAGGAUCUGGCCCUGGUAUGAGGCUUAUGAGGAUCUGGGUCUGUCAGAAUCUGAGGAGGUAGUAUCUGCGUGUGGGUAUAAGGAUCUGGAUCUGUCAUUAUCUUAGGAGGUAAGAUCUGGCCCUGCUAUCAGGAUCUGAGUCUGUCAGUGUCUGAGGAGGAAGGAUCUGGCGCACAUAUAAGAAUCUAGGUAUUUCAGUGUCUGGGAAGGUAAGAUCUGGCCCUGGUUUGAGGAUCUGGGUCUUUCAUCUGAGGAGAUAGGAAUCAGGUACAGAUAUGAGGAUCUGAGUCUCUUCAUGUCUGAGGAGUAAGGAAUCUGUUACUGGCAUGAGGAUCUGGAUCUGUCAGUGUCUGAGGAGGCAGGACCUGGCACUGGUAUGUGGGUCUGGGUCUAUCCAUGUCUGAGGAGGUAGGAUCUGGCUCUGUCGAUGUCUGUGGAGGUAGGAUCUGGCACAGAUACAAGGAUCUGGGCUUUACAAUUUCUGCGAACAUAGGAUCUGGCCUUGGUAUGAGGAUCUGGGUCUGUCAGUAUCUGAGGAGUUACAAAUCUAGUACAGGUAUGAAAAUCUGGGUCUCUCCUGUCUGAGGAGUUAGGAAUCUGCUACAGGUGUGACGAUCUGGGUGUCUCCAUGUCUGAGGAGGUAGGAUCUGGUACGGCUGUGAGGAUCUGGGUCUGUCAGUGUCUGAGGAGGUAGGAUCUGGUACAAGUGUGAGGAUCUGGGUCUCUCAUGUCUGAGGAGGUAGGAUUUGGCCCUGGUAUGAGGAUCUGGGUCUCUCCAUGUCUGAGAAGGUAGGAUCUUGCCCUGGUAUGAGGCUUGUGAGGUUUUGGGUCUGUCAGCAUCUGAGGAGGUAGGAUCUGGGUAUGGGUAUAAGGAUCUGGAUCUGUCAGUAUCUGAGGAGGUAGGAUCUGGCCCUGGUAUCAGGACCUGAGUCUGUCAGUGUCUGGGGAGGUAGGAUCUGGUACAGGUGUGAGGAUCUGGGUCUCUCCAUGUCUGAGGAGGUAGGAUCUGGUAUAGGUAUUAGGAUCUGGGUCUGUCCGUGUCUGAGGAGGUAAGAUUUGGCAGAGAUAUUAGGAUCUGGGUCUGUCUGUGUUUGAGGAGGUAAGAUUUGGCGGAGAUAUUAGGAUCUGAGUCUGUCCAUGUCUGAGGAGGUAAAAUUUGGUUCAGGUAUGACGAUCUGGGUCUGUCCAUGUCUGAGGAGGUAGGACCUGGCCCUGGCAUGAGGAUCUGGGUCUCGCCAUGUCUGAAGAGGUAGGAUCUGGCAUGAGUAUGAGGAUCUGGCUCUUACCAUGUCUGGAGAGGGAGGAUCUGGCACAGAUAUAAGGAUCUGGGUCUUUCAAUGUCUGUGAAGGUAAGAUCUGGCCUUGGCAUGGGGAUCUGGGUCUGUCAGUGUCAGAGGAGGUAUUAAUCUAGUACAGGUAUGAGGAUCUGGGUCUCUCCAUGUCUGAGGAGGUAGGAUCUGGUACAGGUGUGAGGAUCUGGGUUUGUCUAUGUCUGAGGAGGUAGGACCUGGUAUAGGUGUGAGGAUCUGGGUCCCUCCAUGUCUGAGAAGGUAGGAUCUGGCCCUGGUAUGAGGCUUGUGAGGAUCUGGGUCUGUCAGUAUCUGAGGACGUAGGAUCUGGCCCUGGUAUCGGGAUCUGAGUCUGUCAGUGUCUGAGGAGGUAGGAUCUGGGAUAGCUGUGAGAAUUUGAUUCUGUCUAUGUCUGAGGACAUAGGAAUCUGGUACAGAUAUGAGGAUCUCGGUCUGUUCACGUCUUAGGAGGUAGGAUCUGGUGCAGGUAUGAGGAUCUGGGUCUCUCCAUGUCUGAGGAGGUAGGAUCUGGUACAGAGAUGAGGAUCUGGGUCUGCUCAUGUCUUAGGAGGUAGAAUCUGGUGCAGGUAUGAGGAUCUGGGUCUGUCCAUGUCUGAGGAGGUAGGAUCUGGUACAGAUAUGAGGAUCUGGGUCUGUUCAUGUCUUAGGAGGUAGGAUCUGGUGCAGGUAUGAGGAUCUAGGUUUUCAGUGUCUGAGAAGGUAGGAUCUGGCCCUGUAUGAGGAUCUGGGUCUUUCAGUAUCUGAGGAGGUAGGAAUCUGGUACAGAUAUGGGGAUCUGGGUCUUUCCAUGACUAAGGAGGUACGAAUUUGUUUGAGGCAUGAGGAUCUGGGUCUGUCACUGUGUGAGGAGGUAAGAUCUGGCCUGAGUGUGAGGAUCUCAGACUGUUAAUGUGUGAGGAGGUAGAACCUGGCCCUUGUAUGAGGAUCUGGGUCUGUCCAUGUCUGAGGAGGUAGGAAUCUGUUACAGGCAUGAGGAUUUGGGUCUGUCAAUGUCUGAGGAGGUAGGAUCUGGCCCUGGUAUGAGGAUCUGGCUCUCUCCAUGUCU